AUUGAACGCUGGCGGCAUGCCUUACACAUGCAAGUCGAACGGCAGCGCGGACUUCGGUCUGGCGGCGAGUGGCGAACGGGUGAGUAAUACAUCGGAACGUACCCUGUUGUGGGGGAUAACUAGUCGAAAGAUUAGCUAAUACCGCAUACGACCUGAGGGUGAAAGUGGGGGACCGCAAGGCCUCACGCAGCAGGAGCGGCCGAUGUCUGAUUAGCUAGUUGGUGGGGUAAAGGCCCACCAAGGCGACGAUCAGUAGCUGGUCUGAGAGGACGAUCAGCCAAACCGGGAAUGAGACAACGGCCAGACUCCUAAGGGAGGGAGCAGGGGGGAAUUUUUGAACAUGGGGGCAACCCUGAUCCAGCAAUGCCGCGUGUGUGAAGAAGGCCUUCGGGUUGUAAAGCACUUUUGUCCGGAAAGAAAUCGAGCUGGUUAAUACCUGGCGUGGAUGACGGUACCGGAAGAAUAAGCACCGGCUAACUACGUG
This 484-nucleotide ribosomal RNA is filed under the name uncultured bacterium. Its description in RNAcentral is "partial 16S ribosomal RNA". It matches the Rfam family "Bacterial small subunit ribosomal RNA", at positions 29 to 507 of the family's 1533-position model. The record is from RNAcentral.